GUCAAAACUGAUAAAAAUACAAUAUUUUUUGAUCUGUUCAAUCCCCCGAAGGAAGCAAUUGUUCAUUUGUGGCCUGCUCCGACCAACCAAGAGUUGAAGAUGCCAAUUUUUCUUAUUUUACGAUCUGUGUAAACUUUAUCGGAUUCUAAGGUCAUUGAUGGAACAAAAAUGGAAUUGUUUGGAGCAACAACCAUCACAAGAAAAAUAAUUUUAAAGGGUGGGCUUGUUGUUGUUGAUGAUGGUAGUGGUAGUGAUAGUGGUGCUGCUAUUGGGGCUAAUUAUUAUGGUUAUGAUCAUACUGGCUAUACAAAUUUUUUUUUC
Molecule: long non-coding RNA, 321 nt
Organism: Capsicum annuum
Lineage: Eukaryota; Viridiplantae; Streptophyta; Magnoliopsida; Solanales; Solanaceae
Exons: 2
Source: RefSeq, a predicted model, not a curated record